Molecule: ribosomal RNA, 592 nt
Filed under: uncultured bacterium
Lineage: Bacteria
Description: bacterial SSU rRNA
Rfam family: Bacterial small subunit ribosomal RNA
Source: RNAcentral
CUACGGGAGGCAGCAGUGGGGAAUCUUGCACAAUGGGCGAAAGCCUGAUGCAGCAACGCCGCGUGCGGGAAGAAGGCCCUAGGGUUGUAAACCGCUUUCAGUAGGGAAGAAAAUGACGGUACCUACAGAAGAAGGUGCGGCCAACUACGUGCCAGCAGCCGCGGUGACACGUAGGCACCAAGCGUUAUCCGGAUUUAUUGGGCGUAAAGAGCUCGUAGGCGGUUCGGUAAGUCGGGUGUGAAAACUCUGGGGCUCAACCCAGAGAGGCCACCCGAUACUGCUGUGACUAGAGUGCGGUAGGGGAGCGGGGAAUUCCUGGUGUAGCGGUGAAAUGCGCAGAUAUCAGGAGGAACACCAGCGGCGAAGGCGCCGCUCUGGGCCGUAACUGACGCUGAGGAGCGAAAGCAUGGGUAGCAAACAGGAUUAGAUACCCUGGUAGUCCGAUGCCGUAAACGUUGGGCACUAGGUGUGGGUCUCAACCAACGAGAUCCGCGCCGUCGCUAACGCAUUAAGUGCCCCGCCUGGGGAGUACGGUCGCAAGCUAAAACUCAAAGAUAGUGCGNGNGAGAGCGACGACGACGACGAGGAGGAG